UACAGAGGGUGCGAGCGUUAAUCGGAAUUACUGGGCGUAAAGCGUGCGUAGACGGCUAUCUAAGUCGGGUGUGAAAGCCCCGGGCUCAACCUGGGAAUUGCAUUCGAGACUGAAUAGCUAGGGUGCGGUAGAGGGAAGCGGAAUUUCCGGUGUAGCGGUGAAAUGCGUAGAUAUCGGAAGGAACAUCAGUGGCGAAAGCGGCUUCCUGGACCAGCACCGACGUCAGGCACGAAAGGCGUGGGGAGCAAACAGGA
Molecule: ribosomal RNA, 254 nt
Filed under: uncultured bacterium
Lineage: Bacteria
Description: partial 16S ribosomal RNA
Rfam family: Bacterial small subunit ribosomal RNA
Source: RNAcentral